CAACUCCAAGGUCUGCUGGAAGUUGGGAUCUCCCUGCAUAGUAGGCACAGCAGGUAUGGCUCCUGACGAGCCUCCAACAACAGACUGCUCUACCGGUGCAGGUACCAGUGCAGGAAUAGGAACUUCCUCCUGCCCGAGCUAGGGAUCUUGUCCCCUUUGUCGGGACGACUGUCUAGUCCCUCUACGGACACCACCACGCUUAGGGCCCAUCUUUACUGUCACAAGAAACAGAUUUUCAGGAAAACGAGGAUGCACGAAGUGCAAAGUCUACAGGAAAUUAAACCUAAUGCUCUGAUACCAAGUUGACAAGAUCCGA
RNAcentral lists this long non-coding RNA (316 nucleotides) under Prunus persica (peach). RNAcentral describes it as "long non-coding RNA (PPER_LNC006270)". The record is from RNAcentral. Lineage: Eukaryota; Viridiplantae; Streptophyta; Magnoliopsida; Rosales; Rosaceae.